RNAcentral lists this ribosomal RNA (497 nucleotides) under uncultured bacterium. Its description in RNAcentral is "partial 16S ribosomal RNA". It matches the Rfam family "Bacterial small subunit ribosomal RNA", at positions 28 to 507 of the family's 1533-position model. The record is from RNAcentral.
GAUGAACGCUGGCGGCGUGCCUAAUACAUGCCAGUCGAGCGAACGGACGAGAAGCUUGCUUCUCUGAUGUUAGCGGCGGACGGGUGAGUAACACGUGGAUAACCUACCUAUAAGACUGGGAUAACUUCGGGAAACCGUAGCUAAUACCGGAUAAUAUUUUGAACCGCAUGGUUCAAAAGUGAAAGACGGUCUUGCUGUCACUUAUAGAUGGAUCCGCGCUGCAUUAGCUAGUUGGUAAGGUAACGGCUUACCAAGGCAACGAUGUAUAGCCGACCUGAGAGGGUGAUCGGCCACACUGGAACUGAGACACGGUCCAGACUCCUACGGGAGGCAGCAGUAGGGAAUCUUCCGCAAUGGGCGAAAGCCUGACGGAGCAACGCCGCGUGAGUGAUGAAGGUCUUCGGAUCGUAAAACUCUGUUAUUAGGGAAGAACAUAUGUGUAAGUAACUGUGCACAUCUUGACGGUACCUAAUCAGAAAGCCACGGCUAACUACGUG